GACGAACCGUGCGAACGUUGUUCGGAAUCACUGGGCUUAAAGGGCGCGUAGGCGGGUGUGCAAGUCUGCGGUGAAAGCCCCCAGCUUAACUGGGGAAGUGCCGUGGAUACUGCUCAUCUUGAGGAGGGUAGGGGCAUCUGGAACAUUGGGUGGAGCGGUGAAAUGCGUUGAUAUCCAAUGGAACUCCGGUGGCGAAGGCGAGGUGCUGGACCCUUUCUGACGCUGAUGCGCGAAAGCCAGGGGAG
This 245-nucleotide ribosomal RNA is filed under the name uncultured bacterium. RNAcentral's name for it is "partial 16S ribosomal RNA". It matches the Rfam family "Bacterial small subunit ribosomal RNA", at positions 524 to 768 of the family's 1533-position model. The record is from RNAcentral.